This 253-nucleotide ribosomal RNA is filed under the name uncultured bacterium. Its description in RNAcentral is "partial 16S ribosomal RNA". It matches the Rfam family "Bacterial small subunit ribosomal RNA", at positions 524 to 776 of the family's 1533-position model. The record is from RNAcentral.
GACGUAGGGGGCAAGCGUUGUCCGGAUUUACUGGGCGUAAAGAGCGUGUAGGCGGUUGGGCAAGUCUGCUGUGAAAUCUCCAGGCUCAACUUGGAGGGGUCAGUGGAAACUGCCAAACUUGAGGACGGUAGAGGGGGGUGGAAUUCCCGGUGUAGUGGUGAAAUGCGUAGAGAUCGGGAGGAACACCAGCGGCGAAGGCGGCCCCCUGGGCCGCUACUGACGCUGAGACGCGAAGGCCAGGGUAGCGAACGGG